CUGGCUCAGGACGAACGCUGGCGGCGUGCCUAAUACAUGCAAGUCGAACGGUCUUUCUAUGGAAGCUUGCUUCCACUGAGAAGAUAGUGGCGAACGGGUGAGUAACACGUGGGUAACCUGCCCAUAAGAGGGGGAUAACAUCCGGAAACGGGUGCUAAUACCGCAUAGUUUUCUUGAUCGCAUGAUUGAGAAAGGAAAGACGGCCUUUGUGCUGUCGCUUAUGGAUGGACCCGCGGCGUAUUAGUUAGUUGGUGAGGUAACGGCUCACCAAGACGAUGAUACGUAGCCGACCUGAGAGGGUGAUCGGCCACAUUGGGACUGAGACACGGCCCAAACUCCUACGGGAGGCAGCAGUAGGGAAUCUUCCGCAAUGGACGAAAGUCCGACGGAGCAACGCCGCGUGAGUGAAGAAAGGUUUUCGGAUCGUAAAACUCUGUUGUCAGAGAAGAACAAGUUGGAGAGUAACUGCUCCAGCCUUGACGGUAUCUGACCAGAAAGCCACGGCUAACUACGUGCCAGCCGCAGC
RNAcentral lists this ribosomal RNA (526 nucleotides) under uncultured bacterium. Its description in RNAcentral is "bacterial SSU rRNA". It matches the Rfam family "Bacterial small subunit ribosomal RNA", at positions 19 to 518 of the family's 1533-position model. The record is from RNAcentral.